Triticum dicoccoides is the source of this 538-nucleotide long non-coding RNA. RefSeq lists it as uncharacterized. The record is from RefSeq and is a predicted model, not a curated record. The transcript is spliced from 2 exons. NCBI's taxonomy places the organism in Eukaryota, Viridiplantae, Streptophyta, Magnoliopsida, Poales, Poaceae.
UCUUCGCCGCCCAAGGAGAAUCCACCAGACGGACCAAGGCGGACGAAGAACCCCCUUGCCGUAGAGCUGGUCGACGGCGGCGAGGCUUGUCCUUCUCCGUCAGUCUGGCAGGGUAACAACCCAAGUAGGGCAAGAGGUUUUUCAUUCAAGGGUGGAUUAGUCGUAGAGGGCGAAGAUGUCUGACUUAUUUAGCGGGAUCCAAGCAGCUAUGGUUAUCAAUCGAGUAGAGAAUAGUGAGCAGUCACCUAAAGAUUGGAACAGCGACUGUGAUGGAUCUGGUGGUUCAUCAGGUUUGACUGGCACCCCGUGCUUCACGUCCAGGCUUUCUUUGCUAAAAGUUGGAUCGGUCAUAGGCCAGUAGUGAUUUUAAGCGGCAGUUAGUCAGGGAAACCGGUUUCGAUGGAAUGUUAGAGCUUAAAUCAUGGCAGAAGAUCAGCCUUAAGUACAUCGCGUACCUAAUGGACAGAGUUGAUGUAGAUUCCAGCAUAAUAUAUCUAGAGAGCCAAGGUGUUCUUGAAUUAUGUGACCAGCACCUGAA